UGCUUACCUUAGCAACAAUAUACUAAAACUAGAGUGAUACAGAAAAAAUUGACAUGGUCGCUGCACAAGGAUGCCUGCAAAUUUAUGAAGCAUUCUAUANNNNN
Small nuclear RNA from Cavia aperea (Brazilian guinea pig), 104 nucleotides. The record is from Ensembl. NCBI's taxonomy places the organism in Eukaryota, Metazoa, Chordata, Mammalia, Rodentia, Caviidae.